CUGGAGGUAUCAGAAGUGCGAAUGCUGACAUAAGUAACGAUAAAGCGGGUGAAAAGCCCGCUCGCCGGAAGACCAAGGGUUCCUGUCCAACGUUAAUCGGGGCAGGGUGAGUCGACCCCUAAGGCGAGGCCGAAAGGCGUAGUCGAUGGGAAACGGGUUAAUAUUCCCGUACUUGGUGUUACUGCGAAGGGGGGACGGAGAAGGCUAUGUUGGCCGGGCGACGGUUGUCCCGG
RNAcentral lists this ribosomal RNA (233 nucleotides) under Salmonella enterica subsp. enterica serovar Newport. Its description in RNAcentral is "partial 23S ribosomal RNA". It matches the Rfam family "Bacterial large subunit ribosomal RNA", at positions 1273 to 1510 of the family's 2925-position model. RNAcentral also lists the same sequence under 2 other names. The record is from RNAcentral. Lineage: Bacteria; Pseudomonadati; Pseudomonadota; Gammaproteobacteria; Enterobacterales; Enterobacteriaceae.